GCGGAGGAAAAGUAAAUAACAAUGAUUUCCCUAGUAACGGCGAGUGAAGAGGAAAGAGCUCAAAGUUGGAACCUGUUUGGCCUAGCUAAACCGGAUUGUAGACUGUAGAAGUGUUUUCCAGGCAAGCCGAGUAAAUAAGUCCUUUGGAACAGGGCAUCAUAGAGGGUGAGAAUCCCGUCUUUGGCUUGAGCAUUUGCCUUUUGUGAUACGCUUUCAAAGAGUCAGGUUGUUUGGGAAUGCAGCCUAAAUUGGGUGGUAAAUCUCACCUAAAGCUAAAUAUUGGCGAGAAACCGAUAGCGAACAAGUACCGUGAGGGAAAGAUGAAAAGAACUUUGAAAAGAGAGUUAAACAGUAUGUGAAAUUGUUAAAAGGGAACCGUUUGGAGCCAGACUGGCUUGUCUGUAAUCAAUCUAGGCUUCGGCCUGGAUGCACUUGCAGGCUAUGCCUGCCAACGACAAUUUGACUUGAGGGAAAAAACUAGGGGAAAUGUGGCCCACUUGUGGGUGUUAUAGUCCCUUAGAAAAUACCUUGGGUUGGAUUGAGGAACGCAGCGAAUGCUUAUUGGCGAGUUUUCCAGGAAGGUUUUCUGAGGUACUACGGUAUCAAGGUUGAUCUU
RNAcentral lists this ribosomal RNA (616 nucleotides) under Rhizopus arrhizus. Its description in RNAcentral is "eukaryotic LSU rRNA". It matches the Rfam family "Eukaryotic large subunit ribosomal RNA", at positions 50 to 620 of the family's 3401-position model. Lineage: Eukaryota; Fungi; Mucoromycota; Mucoromycetes; Mucorales; Rhizopodaceae. The record is from RNAcentral.